RNAcentral lists this ribosomal RNA (424 nucleotides) under Verrucomicrobiota bacterium. RNAcentral describes it as "Verrucomicrobia bacterium partial 16S ribosomal RNA". It matches the Rfam family "Bacterial small subunit ribosomal RNA", at positions 355 to 776 of the family's 1533-position model. The record is from RNAcentral. Lineage: Bacteria; Pseudomonadati; Verrucomicrobiota.
UGAGGAAUAUUGGUCAAUGGACGAGAGUCUGAACCAGCCAAGUAGCGUGCAGGAUGACGGCCCUAUGGGUUGUAAACUGCUUUUAUAUGGGGAUAAAGUGGGGAACGUGUUCCCUUUUGCAGGUACCAUAUGAAUAAGGACCGGCUAAUUCCGUGCCAGCAGCCGCGGUAAUACGGAAGGUUCGGGCGUUAUCCGGAUUUAUUGGGUUUAAAGGGAGCGUAGGCCGUUUGGUAAGCGUGUUGUGAAAUGUAGGAGCUCAACUUCUAGAUUGCAGCGCGAACUGUCAGACUUGAGUGCGCACAACGUAGGCGGAAUUCAUGGUGUAGCGGUGAAAUGCUUAGAUAUGACGAAGAACUCCGAUUGCGAAGGCAGCUGACGGGAGCGCAACUGACGCUUAAGCUCGAAGGUGCGGGUAUCAAACAGG